Molecule: ribosomal RNA, 676 nt
Filed under: uncultured eukaryote
Lineage: Eukaryota
Description: SSU rRNA
Rfam family: Eukaryotic small subunit ribosomal RNA
Source: RNAcentral
CUCACAGCGUAUAUUUAAGUUGUUGCAGUUAAAAAGCUCGUAGUCGGAUUUUGGCUGAGAACGGUCGGUCCGCCGUUAGGUGUGCACUGACUGGUCUCAGCUUCCUGGUGAGGAGGUGUGCUUCAUCGCCACUUAGUCACCGUGGUUACUUUGAAAAAAUUAGAGUGUUCAAAGCGGGCUUACGCUUGAAUAUAUUAGCAUGGAAUAACACCAUAGGACUCCUGUCCUAUUUCGUUGGUCUCGGGACGGGAGUAAUGAUUAAGAGGAACAGUUGGGGGCAUUCGUAUUUCAUUGUCAGAGGUGAAAUUCUUGGAUUUAUGAAAGACGAACUUCUGCGAAAGCAUUUGCCAAGGAUGUUUUCAUUGAUCAAGAACGAAAGUUGGGGGCUCGAAGAUGAUUAGAUACCAUCCUAGUCUCAACCAUAAACGAUGCCGACUAGGGAUUGGCGGAUGUUAAUUGAUGACUUCGCCAGCACCUUAUGGGAAAUCAAAGUUUUUGGGUUCCGGGGGGAGUAUGGUCGCAAGGCUGAAACUUAAAGGAAUUGACGGAAGGGCACCACCAGGCGUGGAGCCUGCGGCUUAAUUUGACUCAACACGGGGAAACUUACCAGGUCCAGACAUAGUAAGGAUUGACAGAUUGAGAGCUCUUUCUUGAUUCUAUGGGUGGUGGUGCAUGG